CCUACGGGUGGCAGCAGUGGGGAAUAUUGGACAAUGGGGGGAACCCUGAUCCAGCCAUGCCGCGUGUGUGAAGAAGGCCCUCGGGUUGUAAAGCACUUUCAGUGAGGAAGAACGCCUGGUGGUUAAUACCCAUCAGGAAAGACAUCACUCACAGAAGAAGCACCGGCUAACUCCGUGCCAGCAGCCGCGGUAAUACGGAGGGUGCGAGCGUUAAUCGGAAUUACUGGGCGUAAAGCGCGCGUAGGUGGCUUGAUAAGCCGGUUGUGAAAGCCCCGGGCUCAACCUGGGAACGGCAUCCGGAACUGUCAAGCUAGAGUGCAGGAGAGGAAGGUAGAAUUCCCGGUGUAGCGGUGAAAUGCGUAGAGAUCGGGAGGAAUACCAGUGGCGAAGGCGGCCUUCUGGACUGACACUGACACUGAGGUGCGAAAGCGUGGGUAGCAACCAGGAUUAGAUACCCCGGUAGUC
This 465-nucleotide ribosomal RNA is filed under the name Vreelandella stevensii. RNAcentral describes it as "partial 16S ribosomal RNA". It matches the Rfam family "Bacterial small subunit ribosomal RNA", at positions 338 to 795 of the family's 1533-position model. The record is from RNAcentral. Lineage: Bacteria; Pseudomonadati; Pseudomonadota; Gammaproteobacteria; Oceanospirillales; Halomonadaceae.